Molecule: ribosomal RNA, 496 nt
Filed under: uncultured bacterium
Lineage: Bacteria
Description: partial 16S ribosomal RNA
Rfam family: Bacterial small subunit ribosomal RNA
Source: RNAcentral
GAUGAACGCUGGCGGCGUGCUUAACACAUGCAAGUCGAGCGAAGGGACGUGAAGCUUGCUUCUCUGGUGUUAGCGGCGGACGGGUGAGUAAUACGUGGAUAACCUACCUAUAAGUCUGGGAUAACUUCGGGAAACUGGGGCUAAUACUGGAUAAUAUUUUGAACCGCAUGGUUCCAUGUUGAAAGACGGUCUUUCGUUCUCGUAUAGAUGGAUCCGCGCUGCGUUAGCUAGUUGGUAAUGUAACGGCUUACCAAGGCAACGAUGCAUAGCCGACCUGAGAGGGUGAUCGGCCACACUGGAACUGAGACACGGUCCAGACUCCUACGGGAGGCAGCAGUAGGGAAUCUUCCGCAGUGGGCGAAAGCCUGACGGAGCAACGCCGCGUGAGUGAUGAAGGUCUUCGGAUCGUAAAACUCUGUAUUAGGGAAGAACAUAUGUGUAAGUAACUGUGCACAUCUUGACGGUACCUAAUCAGAAAGCCACGGCUAACUACGUG